UUUAUCGGAGAGUUUGAUCCUGGCUCAGGACGAACGCUGGCGGCGUGCCUAAUACAUGCAAGUCGAGCGGACAGAUGGGAGCUUGCUCCCUGAUGUU
This 97-nucleotide ribosomal RNA is filed under the name Bacillus subtilis. RNAcentral describes it as "partial 16S ribosomal RNA". It matches the Rfam family "Bacterial small subunit ribosomal RNA", at positions 1 to 94 of the family's 1533-position model. The record is from RNAcentral. Lineage: Bacteria; Bacillati; Bacillota; Bacilli; Caryophanales; Bacillaceae. RNAcentral also lists the same sequence under 1 other name.